This is a long non-coding RNA of Electrophorus electricus (electric eel), 1258 nucleotides long. RefSeq lists it as uncharacterized. NCBI's taxonomy places the organism in Eukaryota, Metazoa, Chordata, Actinopteri, Gymnotiformes, Gymnotidae. The record is from RefSeq and is a predicted model, not a curated record.
AAGAGUGGGCAGCUGUAAAUCACAGGGGUGUAGGUCUUCGGCGCUGCAGCCCUGUGGUGGCUGUUCUGCACCACGGACGUGCCGCUUUCGGAAAAUCGCGACACCACCUUCCGACGCACCCAGCUCCCUAAAUCCCCCACGCCAUUAGGCAGCGCGUUCGCUCGUUUCCUCACCCUUCAUUUUCCUCCCGUUUCCAGCCAGCGCAGCAGGUCUUGAGUGUACAGGCAACCUGCGAGGACCAAGGCACCUGCUGAACCCCACAGGAUCCCACUUCACAAAACAACAACGGGAGAAGAUAAGCACCUGAAGCCGAGCAGAGCCAUAGCUCAAGACAGUGAUGCAAAAAUGAUGCAGCUGACAUGCCGUGAGAUCUGAUGGAAGGAAUGUGCUCGGUGGGGACAUCUGCACCCAAACAGGGGCGAGAGGGGGCGGAAGGUACACGUAUAAUGUGACGGAGCUGACCAGACAGCCCGGACAACAGAGCAGCGCGAGCAGAGUCUGUCCAUCUCGGCUUUCGGUGUCAGCCUGUCUCUACCUUCAUCGUGUCAGCUCCGCGGGGCUGACAUUACCCAGCAAACCUGCACUGAUUCACUCCUGGAUCCUGGCAGGGGACCUGACAGGUAUGGUAUGAUCCGCGUAGACUGGGUGAAGUCAUCAUCAAGUCUUGUAGGACAGUGGUGCCAGGGACAGCAGAUAUCCACAUUGUGAGGGCUCCUCACUGUCAGUUUAACAGGAGUGCGGUACUGAUGUUUUUCCAAAGACGGGAUCACUAUACAUCUAUGCAUACUGCUAUAAAACUAUGCAUUCUGUAUUUGUAGUGAUAUGCUGUAUACAUUCACAAAAGCAUCCAUACACAUUAGACAAUGCAGUGAAAAAAGAAUAAAUAAAUAAAUAAAUAAACAAAUAAAUAAAUAAAUAAAUAAAUAAAUAAAUGGGGCAAUGCUGUGAAUAUGGAAUAUGGACUUGGCUACUUAAAUGUUGUUUAGGCAUACGCAUGUUGACUGAGAAGUACAUUUUCAAUAGAGAUUUAACCAUGAAGUGAAGAAAAUGCAUUAAUGAGUGAAACAAAACAUGGAUUUUGUUUCCUAGUGAAGGAUGAUGGCAGUAAAAAUGUCCAAAGUACUGAAUAAAAUGCACAACAGAAACAGAAGAAAAGCUUAAAAAAGUAGGAAAGUACGUCAUUCAUACUUGUUCCCAGUUCCUCGUGUAUAAUAUAUUAUUCUCUAUAUCUUUUUAAUAAUUAAAAUAUAUAAUUAUU